This 460-nucleotide ribosomal RNA is filed under the name uncultured bacterium. Its description in RNAcentral is "partial 16S ribosomal RNA". It matches the Rfam family "Bacterial small subunit ribosomal RNA", at positions 338 to 795 of the family's 1533-position model. The record is from RNAcentral.
CCUACGGGCGGCAGCAGUGAGGAAUAUUGGUCAAUGGACGAGAGUCUGAACCAGCCACGUAGCGUGAAGGAUGACUGCCCUAUGGGUUGUAAACUUCUUUUAUAGAGGAGUAAAACGAGGCACGUGUGCCUUUUUGCAUGUACUUUAUGAAUAAAGAUCGGGUAACUCCGUGCCAGCAGCCGCGGUAAUACGGAGGAUCCGAGCGUUAUCCGGAAUUAUUGGGUUUAAAGGGAGCGUAGAUGGGUUGUUAAGUCAGUUGUGAAAGUUUGCGGCUCAACCGUAAAAUUGCAAUUGAUACUGGCAGUCUGGAGUACAGUUGAGGUAGGCGGAAUUCGUGGUGUAGCGGUGAAAUGCUUAGAUAUCACGAAGAACCCCGAUUGCGAAGGCAGCUUACUAAACUGUGACUGACAUUGAUGCUCGAAAGCGUGGGUAUCAAACAGGAUUAGAUACCCUGGUAGUC